CCUANGGGGGGCUGCAGUAAGGAAUAUUGCUCAAUGGCCGAAAGGCUGAAGCAGCAACGCCGCGUGAAGGAUGAAUGGCCUUUGGCCUGUAAACUUCUGUAAAAGAGGAAAAAUAGUUAGGUAUAUCCUAAUGUGAUUGUACUCUUGAAGUAAGCCCCGGCUAACUACGUGCCAGCAGCCGCGGUAAUACGUAGGGGGCAAGCGUUGUCCGGAUUUACUGGGUGUAAAGGGUGCUCAGGCGGAUUUAUAAGUCAGUGGUGAAAUCCCGGAGCUUAACUCCGGAACUGCCAUUGAUACUGUAAGUCUCGAGUUUGGAAGAGGUUGAUGGAAUAUCUGGUGUAGCAGUGAAAUGCGUAGAUAUCAGAUAGAACACCAAUGGCGAAGGCAGUCAACUGGUCCAACACUGACGCUAAAGCACGAAAGUGUGGGUAGCAAACAGGAUUAGAUACCCGGNUANUC
RNAcentral lists this ribosomal RNA (459 nucleotides) under uncultured bacterium. RNAcentral's name for it is "bacterial SSU rRNA". It matches the Rfam family "Bacterial small subunit ribosomal RNA", at positions 338 to 795 of the family's 1533-position model. The record is from RNAcentral.